Molecule: long non-coding RNA, 1534 nt
Organism: Balaenoptera ricei (Rice's whale)
Lineage: Eukaryota; Metazoa; Chordata; Mammalia; Artiodactyla; Balaenopteridae
Exons: 5
Source: RefSeq, a predicted model, not a curated record
UCCCCAGAGGCCGGCGGGGACUGCCGUUUAUCUUAACUGCUAGCCGGGUUGAAGAUUCUGUCUCUGAAGGUUUAUUCCCUGCCUUUUGAUUUUAAGUUGCUUGUACAGUGGAGAAGGUCAACGAGAAGUAUGUCCCUUUUCCUAUCCGAUUAAAGUCGCCCGUGUGGCCUAGGAUCCAGUGUCAUUCUUGAGGGCCUGGAGGAUGCCCAAAUGCGUCUUCCAGCCUGAAGCCGCGUGGGCUCGCCCGUCGCCGAAGCCCGUCGGCGAAGCAGGACGAGGAUGAGACGAUUAGGCUGCCGGCUAAGGAAGUAUUAUCAGCUCCUUGCAGGUAGAGGAUGUUUCUGACACAUCUUAGCAUCUCCGAGUGCUAGAAGAAUAGAGCUGACCAUAAGGAUCAGGUGAGGAAACUGAAGCACAAGCUACACAGCUCCAGUGAGAAGCAGAGCUGGAACUGAUUCCACUUGGCUGAUUACCCAGGUCAGCUAGAUCCUACCCUCAUAUCCUGCAGUGCUUGCUUUCAGUGAACAGAAUAUCUACAGUAUUGUUUGAAUACUCAAGACCUGGGUGGCCCCACCAUCUGAUAUCUGAAAACAGACUUCCUGUGAAGCAGGAGUGAUGGUUUCCUGAGAACAAGUGCUUCACUAUCAAGACAUGGAAAGAUAGCACUCGGCUGCUAGUAACAAAUUGCACCAAAGUUACAAAUGCAGGCCAAGCCUUGGAUUCGGCUGAGGGUAUCGAAGAAGGACGGAAGCACGCCAGCCCACCUGAUCUCUGUACCCCCUCUGCCCUCCUCUGGCAGCAGCAGGCCCUUCAUCUGCUCCUUGGAAGGGAAGAGCCAGGUCCUAGAGGCAUCUUCGAUUUGCCAAUAGCUCUAUUCUCCACACGGAUACUGCCUUCACAGUGUAUGACUCUGGACCAGGGUUUGGGAUUGGUCCAGGGAAAAGCUGUAACUUUGAGUGGCUCCCGAUCCUCUCCUUCCCCUUCAGGCUAUUCCUGGGUCAUCUGGAGAGCGGCAGGGCUGGAGCAGGAGGGACCAGGCCCAUGUGCAGCAGGCUCGGUCCUCGGCUGCAUCAGAGCAGCUCAGCAAGCAGCCUCACCAGUUACCCUGUCUUAUGCACAAAGGGAUCUAGACUCAGCUUCUCACCUUUGGAUACCAAAAGCAUCAGGCAGUGGGAGGUGGAGGAGUGUCUCAGGCCAAAUGAGGCACCUCCAGAUGAUAAGGGCCAGACCCUACAUGCAUCUGAAGCAGGAAGAGGCCAAGGCCUUCACUGAGGAGAUGGAUGGGGCAGCAUCUCAAAAGACGGUGGGCAAGUAACUAACCCUGUUGGUCUCUAGGAGGGGCCCUGCCAGUCACUGUCUACCCAGUUCAAACGACAUGUUUCAGCAUCAUGAAAAAUAACAAACAAAUAUGGACUAUAUGAGUCAAUUUUUGUUUAAAAGGAAAACGCAAAGACACGUUAAAAAAAUGGAUAUUUUUAAAAAGUACACUGUGAUUUUUAUUUUAUGUUUGCCUAUUAUCAUACAAGCAUUGCUU